UACGUAGGGGGCAAGCGUUAUCCGGAUUUACUGGGUGUAAAGGGAGCGUAGACGGCCAGACAAGUCUGAAGUGAAAAUCCAGCGCUUAACGCUGGAAGUGCUUUGGAAACUGCCGGGCUGGAGUGCAGGAGGGGCAGGCGGAAUUCCUAGUGUAGCGGUGAAAUGCGUAGAUAUUAGGAGGAACACCAGUGGCGAAGGCGGCCUGCUGGACUGCAACUGACGUUGAGGCUCGAAGGCGUGGGGAGCAAACGGG
This 253-nucleotide ribosomal RNA is filed under the name uncultured bacterium. Its description in RNAcentral is "partial 16S ribosomal RNA". It matches the Rfam family "Bacterial small subunit ribosomal RNA", at positions 524 to 776 of the family's 1533-position model. The record is from RNAcentral.